RNAcentral lists this ribosomal RNA (648 nucleotides) under Triticum aestivum (bread wheat). RNAcentral describes it as "partial small subunit ribosomal RNA". The record is from RNAcentral. Lineage: Eukaryota; Viridiplantae; Streptophyta; Magnoliopsida; Poales; Poaceae.
AUGCCUGCGCCUUCUUUUAUGCGUCUGCGCGCUGCUCUCUCUCUCUCUCUCUCUCUCUCUCUCUUCAAGCCCAUGCAUUCAAUUCCAUCCAUCGAUCUGGGUGUAGAGUCUCGUCCGACGGAUUCCGAUCGAUCGGUCGAGAGUUCUGACGCCGCUACAGUGCCGGGCGGGGGGACUCAGGGCUGCUUGCUACAAGAGGCAGUGGCGACUGGGGAAUCGCCCAUGGAGGGCUCCCGGGGGCGGUGGAGGUGGGGUGGCAGGCGCAGAUCCAUGCUAAUGGUGGCGCUGGCCCUGUGCUUCGUCGUGGCCGUCGUCUCCCUCUGCUGCUGCGCCCGGCCCGGGGCUUGCAGUGCCAGUGCCUGCAGUGGGAGGAGUACUGUGGCGGUGCUCCGUUCAGACUUUUGGAGACGAACAGCAGAAUCGUUCGGUAAUCAGGACCGGUCAAGCGCCAGCGGGAGCGGAGGGCGGCGGCGGCUGCUGGUGGUGGCCGGACCGGGGUCGUACCCGCCGCGGUGCACGGGCAAGUGCGGCAGCUGCAGCCCGUGCUACCCGGUGCACGUGGCCGUGCCGCCGGGGGUGCCGGUCACCACGGAGUACUACCCGGAGGCAUGGCGGUGCAGGUGCGGCAACCGGCUCUACAUGCCAUGA